GAUGAACGCUGGCGGCGUGCCUAAUACAUGCAAGUCGAGCGAACGGACGAGAAGCUUGCUUUUCUGAUGUUAGCGGCGGACGGGUGAGUAACACGUGGAUAACCUACCUAUAAGACUGGGAUAACUUCGGGAAACCGGAGCUAAUACCGGAUAAUAUUUUGAACCGCAUGGUUCAAAAGUGAAAGACGGUCUUGCUGUCACUUAUAGAUGGAUCCGCGCUGCAUUAGCUAGUUGGUAAGGUAACGGCUUACCAAGGCAACGAUGCAUAGCCGACCUGAGAGGGUGAUCGGCCACACUGGAACUGAGACACGGUCCAGACUCCUACGGGAGGCAGCAGUAGGGAAUCUUCCGCAAUGGGCGAAAGCCUGACGGAGCAACGCCGCGUGAGUGAUGAAGGUCUUCGGAUCGUAAGACUCUGUUAUUAGGGAAGAACAUAUGUGUAAGUAACUGUGCACAUCUUGACGGUACCUAAUCAGAAAGCCACGGCUAACUACGUG
Molecule: ribosomal RNA, 497 nt
Filed under: uncultured bacterium
Lineage: Bacteria
Description: partial 16S ribosomal RNA
Rfam family: Bacterial small subunit ribosomal RNA
Source: RNAcentral